GAUGAACGCUAGCGGCAGGCCUAACACAUGCAAGUCGAGGGAGAAGCCCUUCGGGGCAGAAACCGGCGCACGGGUGCGUAACGCGUAUGCAACCUACCUUUCACAGGGGGAUAGCCCGAAGAAAUUUGGAUUAAUACCCCAUAAUAUUAUUGGAUGGCAUCAUUUGAUAAUUAAAACUGAGGUGGUGAAAGAUGGGCAUGCGUCCUAUUAGCUAGUUGGAGUGGUAACGGCACCCCAAGGCUACGAUAGGUAGGGGUCCUGAGAGGGAGAUCCCCUACACUGGUACUGAGACAGGGACCAGACUCCUACGGGAGGCAGCAGUGAGGAAUAUUGGUCAAUGGUCGGAAGACUGAACCAGCCAUGCCGCGCGCAGGAAGAAUGCCUUAUGGGUUGUAAACUGCUUUUAUAUGGGAAGAAUAAGGAGUACGUGUACU
This 434-nucleotide ribosomal RNA is filed under the name uncultured bacterium. Its description in RNAcentral is "bacterial SSU rRNA". It matches the Rfam family "Bacterial small subunit ribosomal RNA", at positions 28 to 465 of the family's 1533-position model. The record is from RNAcentral.